RNAcentral lists this transfer RNA (65 nucleotides) under Inocellia sinensis. Its description in RNAcentral is "tRNA-Phe". Lineage: Eukaryota; Metazoa; Arthropoda; Insecta; Raphidioptera; Inocelliidae. The record is from RNAcentral.
AUUCAUAUAGCUUAUAUAGAGUUUAAUAUUGAAGAUAUUAAGGAAAAUAAUUUAUUUUAUGAAUA